Molecule: ribosomal RNA, 468 nt
Filed under: uncultured bacterium
Lineage: Bacteria
Description: partial 16S ribosomal RNA
Rfam family: Bacterial small subunit ribosomal RNA
Source: RNAcentral
GACGAACGCUGGCGGCGUGCUUAACACAUGCAAGUCGAACGGAAAGGCCCUGCUUUUGUGGGGUGCUCGAGUGGCGAACGGGUGAGUAACGCGUGAGUAACCUGCCCUUGACUUUGGGAUAACUUCAGGAAACUGGGGCUAAUACCGUAUGAGCGCCCCUGCCGCAUGGUGGGGGGGGGAAAUUUUCGGCGGUUGGGGUUGGACUCGCGGCUUAUCAGCUUGUUGGUGGGGUAGUGGCUUCCCAAGGCUUUGGCGGGGAGCGGGCCGGGGGGGGUGACCGGCAACAUUGGACCUGGGAUACGGCCCGGCCUCCUCCGGGAGGAAGAAGUGGGGAUUAUGGACCAUUGGGCGGAAGCCUGAUGCAGCACCGCCGCGGGCGGGAUGCCGGCCUUCGGUUGGUAACCCGCUUUCGCCUGUGACGAAGUGUGAGUGACGGUAAUGGGUAAAGAAGCACCGGCUAACUACGUG